CCUACGGGUGGCAGCAGUGGGGAAUAUUGGACAAUGGGGGCAACCCUGAUCCAGCCAUGCCGCGUGUGUGAAGAAGGCCCUCGGGUUGUAAAGCACUUUCAGUGAGGAAGAACGCCUGGUGGUUAAUACCCAUCAGGAAAGACAUCACUCACAGAAGAAGCACCGGCUAACUCCGUGCCAGCAGCCGCAGGUAAUACGGAGGGUGCGAGCGUUAAUCGGAAUUACUGGGCGUAAAGCGCGCGUAGGUGGCUUGAUAAGCCGGUUGUGAAAGCCCCGGGCUCAACCUGGGAACGGCAUCCGGAACUGUCAAGCUAGAGUGCAGGAGAGGAAGGUAGAAUUCCCGGUGUAGCGGUGAAAUGCGUAGAGAUCGGGAGGAAUACCAGUGGCGAAGGCGGCCUUCUGGACUGACACUGACACUGAGGUGCGAAAGCGUGGGUAGCAAACAGGAUUAGAUACCCCUGUAGUC
This 466-nucleotide ribosomal RNA is filed under the name Vreelandella stevensii. RNAcentral's name for it is "partial 16S ribosomal RNA". It matches the Rfam family "Bacterial small subunit ribosomal RNA", at positions 338 to 795 of the family's 1533-position model. Lineage: Bacteria; Pseudomonadati; Pseudomonadota; Gammaproteobacteria; Oceanospirillales; Halomonadaceae. The record is from RNAcentral.